Molecule: ribosomal RNA, 708 nt
Filed under: Streptomyces sp.
Lineage: Bacteria; Bacillati; Actinomycetota; Actinomycetes; Kitasatosporales; Streptomycetaceae
Description: bacterial SSU rRNA
Rfam family: Bacterial small subunit ribosomal RNA
Source: RNAcentral
GAUUAGUGGCGAACGGGUGAGUAACACGUGGGCAAUCUGCCCUGCACUCUGGGACAAGCCCUGGAAACGGGGUCUAAUACCGGAUAUGACACGCUCCCGCAUGGGAUGCGUGUGGAAAGCUCCGGCGGUGCAGGAUGAGCCCGCGGCCUAUCAGCUUGUUGGUGGGGUGAUGGCCUACCAAGGCGACGACGGGUAGCCGGCCUGAGAGGGCGACCGGCCACACUGGGACUGAGACACGGCCCAGACUCCUACGGGAGGCAGCAGUGGGGAAUAUUGCACAAUGGGCGAAAGCCUGAUGCAGCGACGCCGCGUGAGGGAUGACGGCCUUCGGGUUGUAAACCUCUUUCAGCAGGGAAGAAGCGAGAGUGACGGUACCUGCAGAAGAAGCGCCGGCUAACUACGUGCCAGCAGCCGCGGUAAUACGUAGGGCGCAAGCGUUGUCCGGAAUUAUUGGGCGUAAAGAGCUCGUAGGCGGCUUGUCGCGUCGGAUGUGAAAGCCCGGGGCUUAACCCCGGGUCUGCAUUCGAUACGGGCAGGCUAGAGUUCGGUAGGGGAGAUCGGAAUUCCUGGUGUAGCGGUGAAAUGCGCAGAUAUCAGGAGGAACACCGGUGGCGAAGGCGGAUCUCUGGGCCGAUACUGACGCUGAGGAGCGAAAGCGUGGGGAGCGAACAGGAUUAGAUACCCUGGUAGUCCACGCCGUAAACGUUG